Non-coding RNA from Equus caballus (horse), 1756 nucleotides. NCBI's taxonomy places the organism in Eukaryota, Metazoa, Chordata, Mammalia, Perissodactyla, Equidae. The record is from RefSeq and is a predicted model, not a curated record.
GAAAGUCUCUAUCCUUCCUCCAACCCUUCAGCUCCCUGUGGCAUCCUGAUAGGCAGGGCCUAAAAGGAGCCAGCUGGCAAAGGAAAAAUGUCAUUUGCAGAGGCUCAGCCCCAGCAUCAGAAAGCAGAGCAGGGAGGAGGGGAAAAUUGAGCCGAGAAACAAUGGUUUAACAACUAGCACCCCAGCAUGUGCCAGGAGCUCCCUGAGCCCUCAGUUUUUGGCCCUCCAACUGGGACUCUCACCAUUGGCUCCCCUGGUCCUCAGGCCUUUGGAUUCAGACAGGAACUGCAGGAUUGGCUUUCCUGGAAGAUUUUGGGACUCCUCAGCCUCCAUAGUCACCUUCUACAGGCCACCAGCGUUCAUUCCUUGGCUUAUGUCUCCUGCCAUCGUCAAAGCCAGCAAUGGCCACUUGAAUCUCUCCCUCCUCUGAAGCUCACUCUCCCGCCUCCCACCCAGAUGAUCCAGGACGAUCUCCCAUCUCAAGGUUCUUGAGCACAUCUGCCAAUUUGCUUUGCCAUGAGGUGCAGAAGAUAAUGAAAUGGAUCAGACCCUGGUGAGCAGACAAGCAUACCAGGGGGGAGCAGGUCCUGGUGAUAAGCCCCACCUCAGGUGAGAGGGGGCACGAAGUACCACGUGGGAAGAUGGAAUCCAGUGCCUGGAGCUCAUGGUCCAGACAGAUUUUAAGCUCUUGAAGGCAAAACCUGAAUAGUCUUUGUCUUCGCAGCCUCUGCAGAAGAACUGGUGCAGUGACGUACAGCCAUGCUCAAAGUAUUUAAUAAACAUUUGACUACUUUCCUGUGUCUCUGGGUAUCCCAUGACCUGCAUGAAAAUGAAAACAACACGAUCCGCAAGUCGGUCUCAAGGAGUUGGCAGUGAUGAAUACAAACAGAACAGCUUACAACUCUGCUCUACAAUGGUUAGAAUCAUGGAAAACUGUAAAAAAAAAAAAAAAAAAAGUAAAACAGGUACUAUGGAAGAUGAUAACUGUGAAAGACAAGGUAGAUACAAUCCAAAUAUACAUGGAGUCCAAAAGCGAAGUGGACAAGGAUGCUUCCUGCCUUCCACCGCUGCCUCCCGCACUUGAUGUAAAUGAAAAAUAAACAUCAGCGGUGUUGAGUCGCAAGAGGGACCAAUUCACCGCCCUCCACUCCUUUUUUAUUUACUCUAGGUUCUCAUAGAAACCACCCUUUUCCACUUACGUUAUUUUUACACAUCUUCAAAAUAGGUGUUUGAAAGAACAGUUAUAUUUCAAAUGAAAUAAUUGGUUUCACUGUGCAUUAUUUAUGCAUUUCUGUAGUCAGAAUUUCUCCUUUUAAUACUCGUCAAUCUAGAUGAAGCCCUCCAAUGAUUUCAACAGAAGAACUAUUUGAGUUGUAUAUUUCUGAAAAUUUUCAGGCCUUAGAAUGUCUUUCAUGAAAAAAUAAUAGGUUGACGGGACAUAGCCACUUUGUGUCACUCUCUUUUUCUUUAAGGAUUUUGCAAAUAGAAUUCACUGGCUUCUGACACUGUAAGUUGUAGUAGAGGAAUGUGAAAUUAUCCUAAUUCGGGCCCAUUGGAAUUUUUUGUAUGGGUAAUACAUCUUCAAGAGAUAAAUGCAUAGCCGAGAGAUGGUGGAUAGAUAUUGUGAAAUAUCUAUGUCCCCCAAUCCUAUUUCUCAUCCACCCAUUUCCCACCCCCACCUCACCACAGGUAAUGACUAUGACUGUCUCUAGCUCAGAGAAAUAACUACUAGAAGAAGCUUCUUAUGCACCAACAA